Molecule: ribosomal RNA, 397 nt
Filed under: uncultured bacterium
Lineage: Bacteria
Description: partial 16S ribosomal RNA
Rfam family: Bacterial small subunit ribosomal RNA
Source: RNAcentral
AUACGUAGGGGGCGAGCGUUGUCCGGAAUGUUUGGGCGUAAAGGGCGCGUAGGCGGCCCGGUAAGUCUGGAGUGACAGUCCUGUUUUUAAGAUGGGAAUUGCUUUGGAUACUGUCGGGCUUGAGUGCAGGAGAGGGAAGUGGAAUUCGCAGAGUAGCGGUGAAAUGCGUAGAGAUUGGGAGGAACACCAGUGGCGAAGGCGACUUACUGGACUGUAACUGACGCUGAGGCGCGAAAGUGUGGGGAGCAAACAGGAUUAGAUACCCUGGUAGUCCACACUGUAAACGAUGAAUGCUAGGUGUAGGGGGUAUCGACCCCUUCUGUGCCGCAGUCAACACAAUAAGCAUUCCGCCUGGGGAGUACGGCCGCAAGGUUGAAACUCAAAUGAAUUGACGGGG